This is a long non-coding RNA of Pogoniulus pusillus (Red-fronted tinkerbird), 410 nucleotides long. RefSeq lists it as uncharacterized. The transcript is spliced from 3 exons. Lineage: Eukaryota; Metazoa; Chordata; Aves; Piciformes; Lybiidae. The record is from RefSeq and is a predicted model, not a curated record.
GUGAAACACAGCCUGGGAUUGCUCCAGCAGAAGGAGGAUGGUACUGAAGGCUGCAGAGACUGAGCCCGUUUAUACAAGCACCAAAGCUGCCGUGUGGGAUGAAAGCCUCUGUCUAGCUGGUCCAGCAUCCUGUCUCCAAGAGCAGCCAACGCCGGAUGCUGCAGAGGAAGAUCUCUGUAUUCCUGCCACGGCAUUUUCCAUUCCCAUUUCGGAAUCAUGACUCGGGGGGUCACAAAGUAACGAUUCACUGUUUGAUUUUUGGGGGGGAAGCCUGGCAGUUCUGGUGCAAAGGGUGGAAGAAAUGUUUGCCUGCAGGAGUCUGAUGGGUGACGCUGUGGGUUUUAACCCGGAUAAAAAUAGGAACUGGUUAGUUUCCAAAAGGGAAAAAUAAACUGCUAAGUUUCCACUGA